ACUUUAAAGCAUGGCACUGAAAAUGCCAAGAUGGACGAUUAAACCGCCCCAAAAACA
This 57-nucleotide transfer RNA is filed under the name Phrynops hilarii (snake-necked turtle). Its description in RNAcentral is "partial tRNA-Phe". The record is from RNAcentral. Lineage: Eukaryota; Metazoa; Chordata; Testudines; Chelidae.